AAGUCGUAACAAGGUUUCCGUAGGUGAACCUGCGGAAGGAUCAUUAAUGAGAUUGGUUCGCCAACUCCAACCCGUGUACCUCCUGUUGCUUCGGCUUCGGCCGAAGAAAACUCUAAACGUCGUCUGAGUACAAAUAAUAAGUUAAAACUUUCAACAACGGAUCUCUUGGUUCCC
This 174-nucleotide unclassified non-coding RNA is filed under the name fungal sp. RNAcentral's name for it is "partial contains small subunit ribosomal RNA, internal transcribed spacer 1, and 5.8S ribosomal RNA". The stretch from base 1 to 46 matches the Rfam family "Eukaryotic small subunit ribosomal RNA", at positions 1786 to 1831 of the family's 1831-position model. The record is from RNAcentral. Lineage: Eukaryota; Fungi.